GAUGAACGCUGGCGGCGUGCCUAAUACAUGCAAGUCGAGCGAACAGACGAGGAGCUUGCUCCUCUGACGUUAGCGGCGGACGGGUGAGUAACACGUGGAUAACCUACCUAUAAGACUGGGAUAACUUCGGGAAACCGGAGCUAAUACCGGAUAAUAUAUUGAACCGCAUGGUUCAAUAGUGAAAGACGGUUUUGCUGUCACUUAUAGAUGGAUCAGCGCCGCAUUAGCUAGUUGGUAAGGUAACGGCUUACCAAGGCAACGAUGCGUAGCAGACCUGAGAGGGUGAUCGGCCACACUGGAACUGAGACACGGUCCAGACUCCUACGGGAGGCAGCAGUAGGGAAUCUUCCGCAAUGGGCGAAAGCUUGACGGAGCAACGCCGCGUGAGUGAUGAAGGUCUUCGGAUCGUAAAACUCUGUUAUUAGGGAAGAACAAAUGUGUAAGUAACUAUGCACGUCUUGACGGUACCUAAUCAGAAAGCCACGGCUAACUACGUG
Molecule: ribosomal RNA, 497 nt
Filed under: uncultured bacterium
Lineage: Bacteria
Description: partial 16S ribosomal RNA
Rfam family: Bacterial small subunit ribosomal RNA
Source: RNAcentral